This 1880-nucleotide unclassified non-coding RNA is filed under the name uncultured fungus. RNAcentral's name for it is "sequence contains 18S rRNA gene, ITS1, 5.8S rRNA gene, ITS2, 28S rRNA gene". The stretch from base 768 to 1880 matches the Rfam family "Eukaryotic large subunit ribosomal RNA", at positions 1 to 961 of the family's 3401-position model. The record is from RNAcentral. Lineage: Eukaryota; Fungi.
GGAAGGAUCAUUAACACGUGAAAACGUAUUAAUUUACCUUUUAACAACCUGUGAAUUUCACAUACCUAUUCAACUGUCGCUGUACCAUACAUUCUGUAGUAGGAUAUGACUUCGGUCAUAUGCAAAUGUAUGACUACUGAGGUUUAAUCCUAAGGUGGCUUUUGUUAGGCUUUUUAUUACCCCUACUACUAAGCCCAAAACCAAACCUAUUUCACUAACUAAACCAAUUUUGACUGAUGUACGUUGAUAGUACAGAAAUGUACUGGAUCAACACCAUUUAUCUAAACUAAGCACAACUCUUAGCAAUGGAUAUCUUGGUUCUCGCAACGAUGAAGAACGCAGCGAAAUGCGAUAUGUAAUGCGAAUUGCAGAAUUCAGUGAAUCAUCAAAUUUUUGAACGCAAAUGGCGCUUUCGGGAUAGACCUGGGAGCACGCCUCUCUGAGUAUCGGUUCAACCAUCACUCGUCUGCGUACUGUCAAAGGUACAAAGAACGGAAAAUGAGAGUCUAAGCUGAACAGCUUUGUCUCUUGAAAUUGAUUGAGCUUCAACCUCCUAGUACUGUAUCUUGCAAAAGAUACUAGCCUAUGUGGCUUUUAUUCAACUAGUGACGUGGAUAACAUCACGUAGUGAUACGAAACGUCAAUGCUAUUGGAAUAAUACAACCAGUUACAUAAGUGAAACGAUUAGGAACGUUGAUAGCGUUUGAAUUGAUCAACUUAGCAAUGGUAAAGAUUUCGGUCUUUAUGAUUGUUAUGUUUCUAACAUUAGAUCUCAGAUGAAGCGAGAAGACCCCCUGAAUUUAAGCAUAUUAAUAAGGGGAGGAAAAGAAACUAACAAGGAUUCCCCUAGUAACGGCGAGUGAAGCGGGAUGAGCUCAAUAUGAAAAUCGUGAACCCAGGCGGGUUUUCGAAUUGUAGCCUAGAGACGUGUGAUCAGCGAUAGCCCAGGUAUAAGUCCUUUGGAAGAAGGCAUCAGCGAGGGUGAGAAUCCCGUGUUUGACCUGGAGUCUGUCGCGUACGAUGCAUGUUCAUAGAGUCGAGUUGUUUGGGAUUGCAGCUCUAAAUGGGUGGUAAGUUUCAUCUAAAGCUAAAUAUUGGCGAGAGACCGAUAGCGAACAAGUACCGUGAGGGAAAGAUGAAAAGAACUUUGAAAAGAGAGUUAAAUCAGUACUUGAAAUUGCUAAGAGGGAACGGCUGAACACCAGUGCUGCUGGUUGUCAUUUUUGCUAUGAAUGGAAGAACGUCAUGUUUCGAGUUGGUAACUCUCGUUGUAUGAUGCAGAAGUUUGUUUGUAGUACUGUGAUAAUUGGCGUGUCAGAAUCGGUUCGACGUGUGGGAGAAGGCAUGUAGGAAGGUAGGGUGUUUCGGCACCUGUUAUAGCCUAUGUGUUCUACCAUGUAUUGGACCGAGGAAUCAUGUUGCGCCUGCUGGCUUGGAACGAUGCUCCGUGUGUGUAUAUUGUGCGUGGAUAGCAAUGCUAUGCUGUGUGGUAUAUGUGCACUUGAGUGUCUGCUUUCAUAUGCAACAUCGAGAUUCUGACGAAAUGGUUUUCAUCCACCCGUCUUGAAACACGGACCAAGGAGUCUAACAUAUAUGCGAGUAUUUGGGUGGUAAACCCUGGUGCGUAAUGAAAGUAAAGGUAGCUUCGGCUGCUGAGGUAGGAAUCUGGAACAGAGGCACUAUCGACCGAUCAUCACUUGUGAAAGAUUUGAGUAAGAGCAUAUCUGUUGGGACCCGAAAGAUGGUGAUCUAUGCCUGAACAGGGUGAAGCCAGGGGAAACUCUGGUGGAAGCUCGUAGCGAUACUGACGUGCAAAUCGUUCGUCUGAUUUGGGUAUAGGGGCGAAAGACUAAUCGAACCAUCUAGUAGCUGGUUCCCUC